This is a long non-coding RNA of Homo sapiens (human), 1882 nucleotides long. Ensembl annotates it as PPP5 tetratricopeptide repeat domain containing 1, pseudogene. Its record names the gene PPP5D1P. NCBI's taxonomy places the organism in Eukaryota, Metazoa, Chordata, Mammalia, Primates, Hominidae. The record is from Ensembl.
AUCCCUCCGCGCCCCGCUCCACACCUACGGGCCCGCGAAUCUCUCGUCCCCACCCUGCACAGGAAUUGGGUUUGCCGCCGGGCGCGCGCGCGCUCGCUCCCGUCGCCGGACUACUUUCCCUCGCCGCGCGCCCCGCCUCCCGGGCCCACUUCACUUUCUUCGGCGGAGGGGCACAGCUCGGCGGUGCGUGACGCGUCCCUCUGUGAGCCGCGUCACUAUUGGGCCUGGCCCAUGGCGGAAAUGAGAGCUUGGCGCCCAUUGGUCCGACCUUCCCUGCAAUGCGUCAAACUGGGGCGAGCCACUGCAAGGUGGUGGUGGGUGGUCAAGGUGAAGCCCCACGACAAGGAUGCCAAAAUGAAAUACCAGGAGUGCAACAAGAUCGUGAAGCAGAAGGCCUUUGAGCGGGCCAUCGCAGGCGACGAGCACAAGCGCUCCGUGGUGGACUCGCUGGACAUCGAGAGCAUGACCAUCGAGGGUGAGUACAGCGGACCCAAGCUUGAGGACGACAAAGUGACAAUCACCUUCAUGAAGGGGCUCAUGCAGUGGUACAAGGACCAGAAGAAACUGCACCAGAAAUGCGCCUACCAGGGUCUUGCUCUAUCACCCAGGCUGAAGUGCAGUGGUACGAUCACAGCUCACUGCAGCCUCAACCUCCUGGGCCCACGUGAUCCUCCCACCUCAGCAUCCCAAGUAGCUGUGACCGAAGGCAUGCACCACCACACCUGGCUAAUUUUUUUAUUUUUAUAGAGAUGGGUCUCCCUAUGUUGCGCAGGCUGAUUUCAAACUCUUGGCCUCAAGCAAUCCUCCCACCUUGGCCUGGGGAUUACAGGCGUGAGCCACCAUGCCCAGCCUCCGUGUCUUUACAUUUGAGAACAAUUUGUAGGUUAGCUUUGUCUUUGUUUUUUUAGAGAUGGGGGUCUUGCUGUGUAGCCCAGGCUGGACUCAAACUACAGGGCUCAAGGCAUUCUUCAUCUCAGCCUCUUGAGUAGGUUUGACUACAGUCAUGUGCCACUGUGCCCAACUACCUUUGUCCGGGUUCCUAGGAAUUCUCCAGAAGGCAGAAUGAGUACAAAGAAAACACAGGCAAGUUUCUGUUAAAGAGUUACCUGUGGCCACAGUUCCUCUGGAAGUUUAACAUAGAGUUACCAUAUACUAUGCUAUCGCCAUCCCCAAAUUCAUAUGUUGAAGUCUUAACUCCCAGCACCUCUGAAUGUGACUGUAUUUGGAGAUGGGGGUCUUUAAAGAGGUAAUUAAGGUAAAAUGAGGCCGGGUGCUUUGGUGGCUCACAGCUGUAAUCCCAGCACUUUGGGAAGCUGAGGCGGGCAGAUACCUGAGGUCAGGAGUUCGAGACCAGCCUGCCCAACAUGGUGAAACCCUAUCUCUACUAAAAAUACAAAAUUUGCCUGGCGUGGCGGCAUAUGCCUGUGAUCCCAGCUCCUUGGGAGGCUGAGGCAGGAGAACUGUUUGAACUAGGGAGGAGGAGGUUGCAGUGAGCCGAGAUCAUGCCAUUGCACUCCAGCCUGGGCAACAAGAGCGAAACUUUGGUUCAAAAACAAACAAAAAAAAAGUAAAAUGAGGUCCCAUGUGUGGGCCCUUAAUCCAACCUGACUGGUGUCUUUAUGAGAAAAGGGGACCAGGACACAGCCCCAUGCAGAGGGAAGACCAUGUGAGGAUACAGGGAGAAGACGGCCGUCUGCACAGCCAAGGAGAGAGGCCUCAGGAGACACCAACCUAUCCAACACCUUGAUUUUGGACUUCUGGCCUCCAGAAUUGUGAAAAAGUUAAUUUCUGUCAUUGAAGCCACCCAUUCUGUGAUAGUUUGUUACAGCAGUCCUCAGCGCGUAGAAUACGAUGCCAUUUGUAUGGCAGACAGUCUCAUUGU